AUGGGCAAGGCUACGGAGCGGUAUUUUUCAAAGAAAACUCGGUCACCUGAUCGAGAUAAUGAUACAGGCACAUCAAGGCCACCCACUAGACGUAGGCUAAGUGCAUCAAAUGUCACUGCAGCUAGUCUUCCGAAGCCUAAUAUUCAAACAAAAAUUAAUUUAGAUGAGUUGCCUUAUGAUCCGGCUGAUCGGAAAAGAAUUUUAGAGUACACAAGAAAUCCAAAAAAGCAAGAUGAGAUUAGGCGCAAAUAUUUAAUGAGGGGACCUUACAGGCCACCAUCUAUUUUGGUUUACCCGCAAAGGGAGUUUGGUGAUACUCAACGGAGAUUUAAUCCAGAUUGGUUUAACGAUUAUGAUCGUUGGCUUGAGUAUGGUGACAAAGUGCAUAAUGCUUUUUGUUUGUGUUGCUACCUUUUCAGAGAUUACAAUGAGGGACAAGCUGGAAGUGAUGCAUUUGCAAUUAACGGUUGGAACGGUUGGAACAAAAAAAGCAGACUAGAUACUCAUGAAGGUAAGGGUAAUGUUAAUAGCUUUCAUAAUGUAGCAGUAAAAAGAUGUGAUGCUUUCAUGAAUCAAGAUCAGUCAAUUCAUGUUGCUUUUGAUAAGCAAACUGAUCUUACAAAAAAGCAAAAUCAAAUCCGGCUUGAUGCUUCCAUUGAUUCGGCAUGCCAGCAGUCCGGUGCGCAGGCUCACCGAGAGGCGAGCCAUCGGUUUGACAGCCGUCCGCCUCUCUCCCACAACUCCCACAACUCCAUAUUAAUGGUGUGCCCGAGCGACCGCACCCCCAUCCUCACCACAUACACAAUCCUCUCUCUCCUCUUGCAUCCUCGACGCCGCUCUUAG
This 843-nucleotide ribosomal RNA is filed under the name Triticum aestivum (bread wheat). RNAcentral's name for it is "partial small subunit ribosomal RNA". The record is from RNAcentral. Lineage: Eukaryota; Viridiplantae; Streptophyta; Magnoliopsida; Poales; Poaceae.